AACGAACGCUGGCGGCAUGCCUAAUACAUGCAAGUCGAACGAGAUCUUCGGAUCUAGUGGCGCACGGGUGCGUAACGCGUGGGAAUCUGCCCUUGGGUUCGGAAUAACUUCUGGAAACGGAAGCUAAUACCGGAUGAUGACGUAAGUCCAAAGAUUUAUCGCCCAAGGAUGAGCCCGCGUAGGAUUAGGUAGUUGGUGAGGUAAAGGCUCACCAAGCCGACGAUCCUUAGCUGGUCUGAGAGGAUGAUCAGCCACACUGGGACUGAGACACGGCCCAGACUCCUACGGGAGGCAGCAGUAGGGAAUAUUGGACAUUGGGCGAAAGCCUGAUCCAGCAAUGCCGCGUGAGUGAUGAAGGCCUUAGGGUUGUAAAGCUCUUUUACCCGGGAUGAUAAUGACAGUACCGGGAGAAUAAGCGCCGGCUAACUCCGUG
Molecule: ribosomal RNA, 433 nt
Filed under: uncultured bacterium
Lineage: Bacteria
Description: partial 16S ribosomal RNA
Rfam family: Bacterial small subunit ribosomal RNA
Source: RNAcentral